UGAGGAAUAUUGGGCAAUGGACGAGAGUCUGAACCAGCCAAGUAGCGUGCAGGAUGACGGCCCUAUGGGUUGUAAACUGCUUUUGUUUGGGAAUAAUCGACAUUACGUGUAAUGUUUUGCAUGUACUAUUCGAAUAAGGACCGGCUAAUUCCGUGCCAGCAGCCGCGGUAAUACGGAAGGUCCAGGCGUUAUCCGGCGUUAUUGGGUUUAAUGGGAGUGUAGGCGGUUGGUUAAGCGUGUUGUGAAAUGUAGAUGCUCAACAUCUGACUUGCAGCGCGAACUGGCUGACUUGAGUACACACAACGUAGGCGGAAUUCAUGGUGUAGCGGUGAAAUGCUUAGAUAUCAUGAAGCCCUCCGAUUGCGAAGGCGGCUUACGGGAGUGUUACUGACGCUUAAGGUCGAAGGUGCGGGUAUCGAAAAGA
This 424-nucleotide ribosomal RNA is filed under the name Verrucomicrobiota bacterium. RNAcentral's name for it is "Verrucomicrobia bacterium partial 16S ribosomal RNA". It matches the Rfam family "Bacterial small subunit ribosomal RNA", at positions 355 to 776 of the family's 1533-position model. Lineage: Bacteria; Pseudomonadati; Verrucomicrobiota. The record is from RNAcentral.